UAGAGCAAAUCUCAAAAAGACCGUCCCAGUUCGGAUCGCAGGCUGCAACCCGCCUGCGUGAAGUUGGAAUCGCUAGUAAUCGCGGAUCAGCAUGCCGCGGUGAAUACGUUCCCGGGCCUUGUACACACCGCCCGUCACACCAUGAGAGUCGGGAACACCCGAAGUCCGUAGCCUAACCGCAAGGAGGGCGCGGCCGAAGGUGGGUUCGAUAAUUGGGGUGAAGUCGUAACAAGGUAGC
This 238-nucleotide ribosomal RNA is filed under the name uncultured bacterium. Its description in RNAcentral is "partial 16S ribosomal RNA". It matches the Rfam family "Bacterial small subunit ribosomal RNA", at positions 1263 to 1500 of the family's 1533-position model. The record is from RNAcentral.